CCUACGGGAGGCAGCAGUGGGGAAUAUUGCACAAUGGGCGCAAGCCUGAUGCAGCCAUGCCGCGUGUGGGAAGAAGGCCUUCGGGUUGUAAAGCACUUUCAGCGGGGAGGAAGGCGGUGAGGUUAAUAACCUCAUCGAUUGACGUUACCCGCAGAAGAAGCACCGGCUAACUCCGUGCCAGCAGCCGCGGUAAUACGGAGGGUGCAAGCGUUAAUCGGAAUUACUGGGCGUAAAGCGCACGCAGGCGGUCUGUCAAGUCGGAUGUGAAAUCCCCGGGCUCAACCUGGGAACUGCAUUCGAAACUGGCAGGCUAGAGUCUUGUAGAGGGGGGUAGAAUUCCAGGUGUAGCGGUGAAAUGCGUAGAGAUCUGGAGGAAUACCGGUGGCGAAGGCGGCCCCCUGGACAAAGACUGACGCUCAGGUGCGAAAGCGUGGGGAGCAAACAGGAUUAGAUACCCUAGUAGUC
This 465-nucleotide ribosomal RNA is filed under the name uncultured Klebsiella sp. RNAcentral's name for it is "bacterial SSU rRNA". It matches the Rfam family "Bacterial small subunit ribosomal RNA", at positions 338 to 795 of the family's 1533-position model. Lineage: Bacteria; Pseudomonadati; Pseudomonadota; Gammaproteobacteria; Enterobacterales; Enterobacteriaceae. The record is from RNAcentral.